UGGGGAAUAUUGGACAAUGGGCGCAAGCCUGAUCCAGCCAUGCCGCGUGAGUGAUGAAGGCCUUAGGGUUGUAAAGCUCUUUCGCCGGUGAAGAUAAUGACGGUAACCGGAGAAGAAGCCCCGGCUAACUUCGUGCCAGCAGCCGCGGUAAUACGAAGGGGGCUAGCGUUGCUCGGAAUCACUGGGCGUAAAGCGCACGUAGGCGGAUCGUUAAGUCAAGGGUGAAAUCCUGGAGCUCAACUCCAGAACUGCCCUUGAUACUGGCGAUCUCGAGUUCGAGAGAGGUUGGUGGAACUCCGAGUGUAGAGGUGAAAUUCGUAGAUAUUCGGAAGAACACCAGUGGCGAAGGCGGCCAACUGGCUCGAUACUGACGCUGAGGUGCGAAAGCGUGGGGAGCAAAACAGGAUUAGAUACCCUGGUAGUCCACGCCGUAAAACGAUGGAUGCUAGCCGUUGGGGGGUUUACCUCUCAGUGGCGCAGCUAACGCCUUAAGCAUCCCGCCUGGGGAGUACGGUCGCAAGAUUAAAACUCAAAGGAAUUGAC
Molecule: ribosomal RNA, 543 nt
Filed under: uncultured bacterium
Lineage: Bacteria
Description: partial 16S ribosomal RNA
Rfam family: Bacterial small subunit ribosomal RNA
Source: RNAcentral